RNAcentral lists this ribosomal RNA (275 nucleotides) under uncultured bacterium. Its description in RNAcentral is "partial 16S ribosomal RNA". It matches the Rfam family "Bacterial small subunit ribosomal RNA", at positions 523 to 796 of the family's 1533-position model. The record is from RNAcentral.
AGACGUAGGGCGCGAGCGUUAUCCGGAUUUAUUGGGCGUAAAGGGCUCGUAGGCGGUUAUGUAAGUCGGGUGUGAAAACUUGGGGCUUAACCCUGAGAUGCCAUCCGAUACUGCAUUGACUAGAGUUCGGUAGAGGAGCGUGGAAUUCCUAGUGUAGCGGUGAAAUGCGCAGAUAUUAGGAGGAACACCUAUUGCGAAGGCAGCACUCUGGGCCGAUACUGACGCUGAGGAGCGAAAGCGUGGGUAGCAAACAGGAUUAGAAACCCCAGUAGUCC